Acinonyx jubatus (cheetah) is the source of this 1267-nucleotide long non-coding RNA. RefSeq lists it as uncharacterized. The transcript has 3 exons. Lineage: Eukaryota; Metazoa; Chordata; Mammalia; Carnivora; Felidae. The record is from RefSeq and is a predicted model, not a curated record.
CUUUCUUUAGCUUGAACUGCCAUCUGGACUCCCAGGCUCAAACACAAACUGAAAACACCCAUAACAUCCACACCCUCCUCCUCAUAUGCAGAUAGCCUUUCAUAAGGCCCUGGGAGGGCUCCAACCCUAUAAGUUUUUAUUUAUUUAAGUCAUCUCCACACUCAACGUGGGGCCCAAAUUCAGGAUGCAGAGAUCAAGAGUCACAUGCUCCACCAACUGAGCCGGCCCGCAGCCCCAGCUUUGUUCAAUGUUUAAUGAAGUUUCGGAUAAGCAAACUGAGCUCCAUUUGUACAAUGAAAUGUUACUCAACAACGAAGAAGGAAUGAACUGCUGAUACACAGAACAUGGCUGAACUUCAGAAACCUUAUUUUGAGUGAAAGAUGCCAGACACCAACAAACACACUCUGUAUACUUCUACAUAUCAGACGUUCAGGAACAAUUUUAUGCAUCGUAAUGAGUGUCAGAACAAUGGUUACAACAACACAACAAUGGUUACAACCCUGUUGUGUUGACUUGGGAAGGACACAUAGGACAUUUCUGGAGUGAUGGAAAUGGUCCGAAUCUUGGAAGGAAUGUGGGUUACCGAGAUAAAAGCGUCGGUCAAUAUCAUUGCAAUGGUAUGCUUGUAAUUAUGUAAAUUCUAUGUCCAUUAAAAACCCUGUGAUUUGGGGGUGCCUGGGUGGCUCAGUCAGUUAAGAGUCCAACUCUUUGUUGUUGUUGUUGUUUGUUGUUGUUAAGCGUCCAACUCUUGAUCUCAGCUCAGGUUGUGAGCUCAAGCCCCACGUUGGAUGUGAAGCCUACUUAAAAAUAAAUAAAGAAAUAAAAAUAAACUAAAGCCCUGGGAUUUGGGUUUCAUAAUUAACAUAAUUCAUCUCACAGGCGCUCACCAAUUUUCUGAAAUUGCUUGCGUUUAAAAUCUUUUUCUUCUGGGGUGCCUGGGUGGCUGUCAGUUAAGUGUCUAACUUUGGCUCAGGUCAUGAUCUCACAGUUCAUGGGAUCAAGCCCCCAUUGGGCUCCAGGCUGACAGAGCAGAGCCUGCUUGGGAUUCUGUCUCUCUUUCCCUCUCUCUCUGCCCCACCCCUGUCUCUCAAAAUAAAUAAAUAAACUUAAAGAAGUCUUUUUCUUCUAACGAAUUGGAAGCCAAGUAGUUCCCAAACUAUCCUCCUCCACAAGAAAUAAAAUGGAGAGUCCACUGAGAGGGAAAUCAUAAACACCAGAAGUAAAAACCACGGGGAGUCAUAGGCUAGUAGAACAGCCAGGUAAGAAC